CUAGACCUGAAAUCAGUCGAGGACACCCGCUGAAUUUAAGCAUAUUAUUAAGCGGAGGAAAAGAAAAUAACUAUGAUUCCCCUAGUAACGGCGAGUGAAGAGGGAGGUGCUCAAAGUGAAAAUCGUGGUACCUCUUAUGGUACCGCGAGUUGUAGCCUCUAGAGGCGUUACCAGUGGAGGGGCAGGUCUAAGUUUCUUGG
RNAcentral lists this ribosomal RNA (200 nucleotides) under Eimeria bovis. RNAcentral describes it as "partial 28S rRNA". It matches the Rfam family "Eukaryotic large subunit ribosomal RNA", at positions 1 to 193 of the family's 3401-position model. The record is from RNAcentral. Lineage: Eukaryota; Apicomplexa; Conoidasida; Eucoccidiorida; Eimeriidae.